Long non-coding RNA from Manis pentadactyla (Chinese pangolin), 1493 nucleotides. RefSeq lists it as uncharacterized. The record is from RefSeq and is a predicted model, not a curated record. The transcript is spliced from 4 exons. Lineage: Eukaryota; Metazoa; Chordata; Mammalia; Pholidota; Manidae.
AGCUCACAGGCUCUUUGGAAUUGUUUUUGGACCUUUAUUUUAAGAAUGAGGAGGAAACAAACAUCGAAAGUAUGUUUGCGUUAUGCCAAGACUAAUUUUUUUUUAAAGAAAAUGGGAAUAAACACUGGAUACUUACUUAAACUUUGCAGUGGAGAAUAAAACAUACUCAAAAAGAAACUAAGACACUUGGGAAGGAAGAUGAAGGUUCAUAUGUGUAGAAUACUAAAAUGGAUUUAAUCACGUUUCUAAUGUAUAAAGAUUUGUAUAAACCAUUAGCCAGGUUUAUAUCUUAUAUUUCAGAGUUCUGGUGUCAUUUAUUACUUUGAUGAUCACUUUUAUGACACACAAGAGAAAAACACAAAAUAAACUAAAAAUAAACCCCUAGUUUUCAGGCAUGAUUAGUGAACAAAAAUAGCUAACUUUUGUUCAGGUUUCUGAUUUAUUUAUAUAAUUCUCUACUUCAUAGAAAAAACAUUUUGGUGACUUUCUUAUUGCUCGAAAGGAUAGAAAAGCAUAAAUAGAUUUUUUUGUCUUCUCAGAAAAUUUUGUAUUUUAUCCUCGAAGAUAGUGCUUUCUCAAGGGUAAUGCAUCAUUUGAUGUUGAAAUAUGUGCCAAGAUCUGUAUAAAAAAGCAUUUUGUGUAGAUAAAUAAGAAGUAAUUCAGUCUUUCAGGAAAACCCGUGGAGCUGGUCGCUAAUGCCAAGCGGAGUAGAAAGGCUGUGAUUUUGCCAGCUGUGCUCCUGAUGCAGUGCCUUGCAGGCCGAGGCAGGGUUGGCAUGAACGGGGAGCACAUGCAGCAGCCUAAAAUCAUUGGCUUUAGAUCAUAGCAUAAGUCUCUCCCUGUAGUGAGUUUUGGUUAAUAAUUAUUGAUCUAAUUAUCUGUGUUUUCUGUUUCUCAGGGAAUUCUGCUUUUCUUGGACAUUGUUUAAAUUCUCUGUAGGAUUACCUUUACCAAGUUGGAGACUGAAGGGAAGAGGCCAAAGGUUAUGAGUGGAAAUUAAAGAAAAAUGGAAAACAGAUGUGAGGAAGCUCACUAUAGGAAUGGAAACACAAGCAGCACUGAAUAUUGUUAAAGAAAAAAAAAAGAUUACUGUUUUAAAAAAAUCCAGUCAGUGAAGAGCUUAUGAAAGUACUAUUUUCAUAAUGAAUGUAAUUUUACAUGAAAAAUAAUCAAGCAGACAAACAAAUAAAGAAAGGUGAAACCUUCUGGCAAACAUCUGAAGUUUCUGCAUGCGGGAGAAGGGCGUGAAGGAAAAACCAAGUCCUGGGCUCAGCCUGGAUGAUGAUUACAACUGAGACACAAAAACAUCUGCUGGGUUAAAGGCUCCAGCUGUUGGCCAUGCAGAGCAAUCACACUCAAAGCUCUCGGUCAGGAAAUUAAGAAGACUGUGGUGUCACUGGAUCAAACUGUGAAGAAUUCUGGAAAGACUAAAUAUUGCUAUCCACACUGACGUUUGACCACUACAAAGGACAUAAUAAAAUAUACUUGUUUCA